RNAcentral lists this ribosomal RNA (504 nucleotides) under uncultured bacterium. Its description in RNAcentral is "partial 16S ribosomal RNA". It matches the Rfam family "Bacterial small subunit ribosomal RNA", at positions 899 to 1397 of the family's 1533-position model. The record is from RNAcentral.
ACUCAAAUGAAUUGACGGGGGCCCGCACAAGCGGUGGAGCAUGUGGUUUAAUUCGUCAUUAACCGAAGAACCUUACCAGGGUUUGACAUCUGCUGUAAGUCCGUGAAAGCGGUACCCUUCCCCCACAAGGGGAACAGCAAGACAGGUGUUGCAUGGCUGUCGUCAGCUCGUGUCGUGAGAUGUUGGGUUAAGUCCCGCAACGAGCGCAACCCUCAUCCAAUGUUGCCAGCGUAAAGUCGGGAACUCUUUGGAAACUGCCCGUGUAAGCGGGAGGAAGGUGGGGAUGACGUCAAGUCGGCAUGGCCCUUACGCCCUGGGCUACACACAUGCUACAAUGGACGUUAACAGAGGGAAGCAAUGCCGCGAGGUGGAGCAAAUCCCAAAAAUACGUUCUCAGUUCGGAUCGCAGUCUGCAACUCGACUGCGUGAAGUCGGAAUCGCUAGUAACCGCAGGUCAGCUAUACUGCGGUGAAUACGUUCCCGGGCCUUGCACACACCGCCCGU